This is a non-coding RNA of Marchantia paleacea, 93 nucleotides long. NCBI's taxonomy places the organism in Eukaryota, Viridiplantae, Streptophyta, Marchantiopsida, Marchantiales, Marchantiaceae. The record is from the annotation of a GenBank genome assembly.
UGUUUAGAUAGCUUAGGUGGUUAGAGCAAAGGAUUAAAAAUCCAAAUUAAAAAUCCUUAUGUAAGUGGUUCGAAUCCACUUCUAAACACAAUA